RNAcentral lists this ribosomal RNA (253 nucleotides) under uncultured bacterium. Its description in RNAcentral is "partial 16S ribosomal RNA". It matches the Rfam family "Bacterial small subunit ribosomal RNA", at positions 524 to 776 of the family's 1533-position model. The record is from RNAcentral.
UACAGAGGGGGCAAGCGUUGUUCGGAAUUACUGGGCGUAAAGGGCGCGUAGGCGGCCUUCUAAGUCGAACGUGAAAUCCCCGGGCUCAACCCGGGAACUGCGUCCGAGACUGGAAGGCUUGAAUCCGGGAGAGGGAUGUGGAAUUCCAGGUGUAGCGGUGAAAUGCGUAGAUAUCUGGAGGAAUACCGGUGGCGAAGGCGGCAUCCUGGACCGGCAUUGACGCUGAUGAGCGAAAGCUAGGGGAGCAAACGGG